Long non-coding RNA from Sapajus apella (tufted capuchin), 134 nucleotides. RefSeq lists it as uncharacterized. The record is from RefSeq and is a predicted model, not a curated record. The transcript is spliced from 3 exons. NCBI's taxonomy places the organism in Eukaryota, Metazoa, Chordata, Mammalia, Primates, Cebidae.
UUCAUGAGACAUGUGGCAACAUGGAUGCAGCUAGAAGCUACUAUCCUAAGCAAACCAACAUAGAAACAGAAAACCAAAUACUGCGUGUUCUCACUUAUAAAUGGGAGCUAAACACUGGAUAGGCAUGAACAUAA